This 71-nucleotide transfer RNA is filed under the name Diddensiella santjacobensis. RNAcentral's name for it is "tRNA-Arg". It matches the Rfam family "tRNA". From Rfam's summary of the family: Transfer RNA (tRNA) molecules are approximately 80 nucleotides in length. Their secondary structure includes four short double-helical elements and three loops (D, anti-codon, and T loops). The record is from RNAcentral. Lineage: Eukaryota; Fungi; Ascomycota; Dipodascomycetes; Dipodascales; Trichomonascaceae.
AUCUUUGUAGUUUAAGGGUAAAACGCUGUACUUCUAAUACGGAGCUUAGGGUUCGAAUCCUUACUGAGAUA